Molecule: ribosomal RNA, 465 nt
Filed under: Vreelandella stevensii
Lineage: Bacteria; Pseudomonadati; Pseudomonadota; Gammaproteobacteria; Oceanospirillales; Halomonadaceae
Description: partial 16S ribosomal RNA
Rfam family: Bacterial small subunit ribosomal RNA
Source: RNAcentral
CCUACGGGGGGCUGCAGUGGGGAAUAUUGGACAAUGGGGGGAACCCUGAUCCAGCCAUGCCGCGUGUGUGAAGAAGGCCCUCGGGUUGUAAAGCACUUUCAGUGAGGAAGAACGCCUGGUGGUUAAUACCCAUCAGGAAAGACAUCACUCACAGAAGAAGCACCGGCUAACUCCGUGCCAGCAGCCGCGGUAAUACGGAGGGUGCGAGCGUUAAUCGGAAUUACUGGGCGUAAAGCGCGCGUAGGUGGCUUGAUAAGCCGGUUGUGAAAGCCCCGGGCUCAACCUGGGAACGGCAUCCGGAACUGUGAAGCUAGAGUGCAGGAGAGGAAGGUAGAAUUCCCGGUGUAGCGGUGAAAUGCGUAGAGAUCGGGAGGAAUACCAGUGGCGAAGGCGGCCUUCUGGACUGACACUGACACUGAGGUGCGAAAGCGUGGGUAGCAAACAGGAUUAGAUACCCGAGUAGUC